RNAcentral lists this ribosomal RNA (465 nucleotides) under uncultured bacterium. RNAcentral's name for it is "partial 16S ribosomal RNA". It matches the Rfam family "Bacterial small subunit ribosomal RNA", at positions 338 to 795 of the family's 1533-position model. The record is from RNAcentral.
CCUACGGGAGGCAGCAGUGGGGAAUAUUGCGCAAUGGGCGAAAGCCUGACGCAGCGACGCAGCGUGAGGGAUGAAGGUCUUCGGAUCGUAAACCUCUGUCAGCAGGGAAGAACGGUCACUGUGCUAAUCAGCAGUGAAUUGACGGUACCUGCAAAGGAAGCACCGACUAACUCCGUGCCAGCAGCCGCGGUAAUACGGAGGGUGCGAGCGUUAAUCGGAAUUACUGGGCGUAAAGCGCUCGUAGGUGGUAUGUCAAGUCAAGGGUGAAAUCCCCGCGCUGAACGUAGGAACUGCCUUUGAAACUGGCAAACUGGAGUGUGUGAGAGGAUAGUGGAAUUCCAGGUGUAGGAGUGAAAGCCGUAGAUAUCUGGAGGAACUUCAGUGGCGAAGGCGACUAUCUGGCACAUAACUGACGCUGAGGAGCGAAAGCGUGGGUAGCAAACAGGAUUAGAUACCCUAGUAGUC